This 334-nucleotide unclassified non-coding RNA is filed under the name soil metagenome. Its description in RNAcentral is "partial contains 5.8S ribosomal RNA, internal transcribed spacer 2, and large subunit ribosomal RNA". The stretch from base 1 to 120 matches the Rfam family "5.8S ribosomal RNA", at positions 35 to 154 of the family's 154-position model. The record is from RNAcentral.
GAUGAAGAACGUAGUGAAAUGCGAUAAGUAGUGUGAAUUGCAGAAUUCAGUGAAUCAUCGAAUCUUUGAACGCACAUUGCGCCCUUUGGUAUUCCUUAGGGCACGCCUGUUCGAGCGUCAUUUAAACCUUCAAGCUCAGCUUGGUGUUGGGUGACUGUCCGCUUCACCGCGGACUCGCCUCAAAAUUAUUGGCGGCCGGUACAUUGGCUCUCGAGCGCAGCAGAAACGCGUAACUCGAGGUCCUCGUGCUGGCUCCCAGAAGCUAUCUUCACAAUUUUGACCUCGGAUCAGGUAGGGAUACCCGCUGAACUUAAGCAUAUCAAUAAGCGGAGGA